Lycium barbarum (goji berry) is the source of this 474-nucleotide long non-coding RNA. RefSeq lists it as uncharacterized. The record is from RefSeq and is a predicted model, not a curated record. The transcript is spliced from 3 exons. Lineage: Eukaryota; Viridiplantae; Streptophyta; Magnoliopsida; Solanales; Solanaceae.
GAAUUAUAAAUAAAGGGGUAAUACCCCCCUUUUAUAAUUCAUGUCAAACAAACCCUUUUCCCUUUCCUUCUCUCUCUUCCUCUUUCUCGCAAACCCUAAGGCCGCCACCUACCUUCCCCUUCUCUCUCGUCCCAAAAAUGUUUGGUGUGGCUGAGUGUGGGUUUUGGAAGCAGAAAAAGGCUUUCAAGUUCAGUCUUGACCACGACUGCACUUUAAAAAGGCCCAAUAGGGAAAUUCCUUCGAAACUGUUAAGUCCAAGAAGAGAAAAGGGAAGCUAAUAUUAUUGAAGGCCCAGUCAUGUGUGAGAAUGACAUGAAGGCCCAACCAUGGGUAAGAAUGGUUAACUAGGGGUUUGGUACACCCCUAAUCUAUCUCUCCUCCUUUAAAUUGUAUCAUGCCAGUUUCUUUGUUGAUUAAAGUGUUGCAUUUGUAUGUUGUAAAACAAACUCAUACUAUUAUUGGAAUCAUUUAUGG